Long non-coding RNA from Bombus impatiens (common eastern bumble bee), 4869 nucleotides. RefSeq lists it as uncharacterized. The record is from RefSeq and is a predicted model, not a curated record. NCBI's taxonomy places the organism in Eukaryota, Metazoa, Arthropoda, Insecta, Hymenoptera, Apidae. The transcript has 3 exons.
GCGUCGGCGUCGGUGUCUGCGUUAGUCGUCGUUCGUUCGAAGCACUCGAUGUAAGCGUAGGUACGCGUAAUUUACGACGGGAGUUUUCGAAGUCCUUAAAGCUCGACUCGCUCUUCGUUUAAUUACUCGUGCCGCGGCUCCGUUCCUUUUCGGCGGGGUAUUUCUAGCGGCCCGGUCGAAAAGUCACCGAGCAAUUGGAUCAUCAGAUUCGAGCGUGAAACGAGUUGAUCCGAUAGGAUUAGCUCUUUGUGCGAAACUGCGUUUCAAGGAGAAAUAUUAGGGGAUGUUGGUAUGGUAGUGACCUGACAAGUAUAUUUUAUAGAUCUUUCUUGGAAGCACCGUGGAUAAAUCAACCAUCGGUGAAGUUCAUAUAGAAAAUACAGUACGUUCGCGAACGAAGGUAAAAUGUGAAACGUGUAUGAAAAAUGUCAGUCGAAAAUGAUUAAGUAACUUAAUUUUUCCAACAAAAAUUAAAGCAAGGAACGCGCUCGAAAAAUUUAAUUUUCACUAUAUGGAUUGUUAAAUUUAAUAAUUACGCUGCAUUAUAAUAAAAUUAAUUAACAAUAUGGUUUCGGAAUGCUGAAUUUUGGUUUCGUAUAAUUGGAGAAAAUUAUAUUACCGAUAGAUGUAACUGAAUUAUAAUUUACGAAUUUUAAAUGGUGAUAUUUUACACUUUAAACGAAUGUUCUCUCGGUUAAUUAAAGUUUCCAAUAUCUUGAAAUUAAGUAAUUGUUUUUAACACGCGAAUAAACAGAAGAAAAGACUGAAAUAAAGCGAUUGCUAGCAAUCGAUAUUCUCGCAAGCAAUUUUCUACGAGAGACAACUACACAUAUAUCUACAUCGUUUGCUUCUUUUUUUACAACUAGGAAUUUUUUUAACACGAAAUAAGUUUCAUCCGUCCGAAGUUUUAUUUAAAAAUUUAAAAACAAUAGGUUCCAUAAAUCGGCAGGCAGAUUUUAAUUACGCAUUCCAUGAUUCUUACGAUGGGCUCGAGUUACGUUAGAUUACAAAUUGCAUAUACACACGUAUAAUUGAAUUCUCUAGGAUGCACGCAAUCUUUGUUCUGUUAAAUAUAUAAUACGCUGUUAGUCGAUCCCUUCUGACACUGCGGAAGAUCGUAGGCACCGUGGAAAUCGGGUCUGCGUCCCAAGGGAUCACAGUGUAAAAUGGAAACUUAUUAAAACGUAUUACGGUCGGGACUAGGAUCGUGGAAAGUAACAGUAACGGAUACGAUUGGAAGUUUAGGCGGAGAAACGAAAAGACCCAAGACUUAACCCGAAAAUGAUAAGUUACCGAGGCUGGUUCACAGUGGAAAUUUACGACGGAGAAAUUAAGAUUCUAUUGGGCCUUUAAUAUAUCGCCUGGACGAAGAAUAUAUUUCAACGGGAUGGAGGGAAUAAAAAUUCUCGUGUCUUGGCUAAAGGCGUUUCGUAACGUCUUAUCGCGGUAAUAUUCGCGCCAAGUAACUGAAACGGUACUCACUGCCUGGGUAAUCAGAGUGCAACGUGGUGCAAUUAAUCGUUAAUUCGUCGUCGAGCUACGCGAUGAAGCAAUUCGUUAUCGCAACGAAUAACUGCGAUCAGUUUUUAUCUUCGGAACGAGAGAAUCCGCAACGAACGUAAAAAAAAAACCGGUACGCAGGAGUUUUCGCUGAAUUCGGUUCGAUGAUGAGAAAUUAAAAUAGAUUAUCGGGACGCGAUCAUGCGUCACAUUCGUUAUAAUUUUAUCGAUAGAACCGAGCGUAUGAGCAGCCGAACCUGUGCGGCAGUAUGCAAAGUUAUCGUUUACAGAAUUUCUACAAAGCGAUCAAAUGAAAUUCAUAUCGGCACAAAUGACUGCUAUCGAUUAAUGUCGGCACGCUUAUUGGGAUAUUUUCUGCGCCGGCUCUAUCGAGCGGAAUAAUUGCGCACUAAACGUUAACAUUAAAUAUUUGGUAACAGAGUUCAACUGCGCUAAAAACAAAAUUGUUGAAAUAAUUUGGAGAUUCUGGUACACAGUUACUUUGCUGAAUAAAAUCAUAACGUUAAUAAUGCGGUGAAAACUAAAGUGAAAGAAGCCACGAGAUUAACGUCGAUAGUUUGUAAAAGUUUGCCGAUCAAAGACAGGAAAGCGUCGUCGCGUCGCACCUUUGACGCUCCGAGCAUACAUUUUAAUUCGAUCGUGACCUUUCGCGAUUUGCUCUUAUGAAAGAUUCAAACGGUCGUUACGCAAGAAUACGGCGAGAUGCAAACACGUUCGUUGAGAACGCAACACGUCGCUCGUGAAUAUCAUGCAGUUGUCGCGGAACUGGUGCCUCGUUCUUCGAGCCGAAGGUCUGGAAGGCUUGUUAGCCGGCAACCGUAACGCAAACGACGCGUUUCGCAAGAAAGAGUCCAAGUUAGCGAUGCGUCACGACUCCCUCUGGCCUUAUUUAGCAGGCGUGCACGUAGAAGCUUUUAAUUGAUCGAUUUCUCGAGAGACAGUGAUGGAUCUCGCGUCUGCAUUUCGCGGAAACGAUCGCGGCGUCUUUUAACCGCGCUAAUGAUUCGCAUGCCAAUUGCAUUACCCAAGCUCGGUUUUCGCCUGCUUGAUAGACGCGAAUAAUUGUAAUUACUUCCUGUGACAGCAACGAUACACUUCUACGUAAGUCUAGUUCAACGCAUGAUAAAGGCUUAAUCACACUAUACGUUUGUGGAAAUAAUUUGAAAUUCAAAUAGGAUUCGCCUGCAUUUAAUUAACCAUGAUUUUGAACAACUCGUUUCGUUCGUUUAUUCGUUGCAAAAUCGUAUUUGAUCUUCAAAACAUAGUUGAACCAUAAAACUACUGAAAACAUACAGUUAACAAGCAUUUUAGUCCAAUGUUAAAAACUUGACGUUAACGGUUUUGAUACAACAAACAGAGUUACAGGAGGAAAAUACACGUUGCUAACUGAAUAACAAUCAGGUAUUUAGGUUACGCAAGGUAUUCGCGAUCAUUUAUUGCGAGAGAUACAUCGCGCUGCCCUUGAGCCGAUACUUAGAAAAACCUGGAGUUGCAACGCUACAUUUUCUAACAUUGAUAUUAACAGGAACAGUAAGCACCGUUCUCCGAUCAAAUUUCCAAGAAACGGUGUUUCUGUGAAACCUCACCCGUGUUAACAUAGCAAAUACUAAUCUCGUUCAUUGCGUCGCAAUGAGGAUUAUGAGACAGAUUCUUGAACAACGUAUAGUCCAGCUCAAGAUAUAGCGAUAACGGAUAAACUAAACGCCUUUACGAAAACUUGAGCAUUUGGAUUACCAUUUGGAAUAAUCCGAGCCUCUGUCUGUGACUAAAUAGCCACUAAUUCACCAUAAAGUUAAUACAUGCAACAAAGCCACGCUUGUUAGCGUGUGUUUCAAAGGCUGACAAAAUUCUUUAUCACUAUCCAGUAGAUAAGAAAGAAAAACGAUUUAAAUAAAUUAGAGAGAAGGAGGGAACGAGAAAUUCGAAAUUGUAACGCGAGCGUGAACUUUUGUUUCGGUAAAUCGUCUAAAUUGCGUUGAUAACGAACUGAAUAUUUUCUCAUACGAUCCUGGCCGAGUCUCUAUAUCUCUCCUUAAACAUGUUCGAUUUAACUCCUGGCUUAUUUUAUGACCCCGCUAUAUGUUUGCCGAGAUUAUAUCACUGAACGAGCAUACGAGUAUGAAAUUCUUGAACGUGGUUAGUUCUUCAAACGUUGGUAUCGCAUUCGAAAUAUCGCCAACUAUAAGAUUCUAACACGAUAAAAGUAGCGGAGUUCGCGUGUACAAUAGUGUGCACGAGUGGGAAAGUUGGUGCGCAAUGGACGUCGCAUAAAUUAAUACACUCGGUGGCUACGAAAGGAGAAAAUGCUCGUAUGGAAACGUCGGCGUAACAACGGAUUCUUCAAAAGGAUCGUUUCGUUGACGCAGACAAACAUUAUUCGCGUGUAUUAUGUAUAUCGUGUGCACAAUAGCGAAGCAGCAGGGCCGUGGGCUGCUUCGAUUCGACAACGUAAUUUUUUCUUUUUUCACCACCCCUCGGUUCCUUCCCUCAUUCUCUUGCACCGUGGAACGAACUCCGAAAUACGGCGUUAGCAUACUGACUAAAGAGAGCGAAAGUCGCGAGAGGAGGGUAGAUAAAGGUGCACGCAAACCGAUGUAACGAAUGCGCAAACAAGCACGUCGGUACCCGCGACGGUCUAUAAUGAAGUUAGGAAAAGUACACCGUGAAGCCUGCUUGAAAAGCGUGAUUCGAAGACUCGAAAGAACACGCUGGUGUGCGUGUAUCCGCCUGUAUACAAAGCGUGUAGUCGUCGUCUGUGUUCCGUAAUGGCGCAUGUUUGCAUCUCUAGUGUUAGCAUCUAGGGGUAUCUGCAUCUCGAGGGUAAAUACGGGGGAAACCAAGCGCCACAUCGCAAAAAGUAUCACGCGAUCUACUCGAUACAGUAAACAUAGCUAAUUAUCGGAUGAAUGGGUUGCUAAAUUUCGUUUAUCACGUAUCGCCGUAUAUGGCAUUAACUCGGUCGAGUCAUUGUUAAAUAUUGACGUAGAUGACGAUAAUAGAAACGAAAUUUCAUCGAGUUUAGAUAUAAAAUAGCAAGAGAGUUAUCGAUACGAUGAAACUUUCUUGGUAUCGGCAAUUAACGUUGGAUAAUCGAGAACGUGAUAUUUAAGACCUGGUACGUGCUUGUCAUUGGUAUGGAUUAAGUCUAUAUUUAAGCCUUCGGUGAGAAGGGUUGUACUAUUUAUAUAGCACGUAAGUCUGAUCUUUUUCAUUCGUCGUCAUCUGGCGCACGAUCUUAUACAUAUGUCUGUACUAUAAUUAUCGAUAUUAUACAAAACAUUGCAAUUACUGGUUAAAGUUAUGAAAGAAACGAUUGAUCGGCGACGAUUUAAUAAACUGUUUAAACAA